GAUAUGUAUGUGAAUUGCAGAUUUUCAGUGAAUCAUCGAAUCUUUGAACGCACCUUGCGCUCCUUGGUAUUCCGAGGAGCAUGCCUGUUUGAGUGUCAU
This 99-nucleotide ribosomal RNA is filed under the name Coniophora arida. RNAcentral's name for it is "partial 5.8S ribosomal RNA". It matches the Rfam family "5.8S ribosomal RNA", at positions 57 to 154 of the family's 154-position model. Rfam says of the family: 5.8S ribosomal RNA (5.8S rRNA) is a component of the large subunit of the eukaryotic ribosome. It is transcribed by RNA polymerase I as part of the 45S precursor that also contains 18S and 28S rRNA. Functionally, it is thought that 5.8S rRNA may be involved in ribosome translocation. The record is from RNAcentral. Lineage: Eukaryota; Fungi; Basidiomycota; Agaricomycetes; Boletales; Coniophoraceae.